AAUUAAAACAACCACUGAUAGGGACCGCAAAAUGUGAUGUAGAUUUACAAAGGCUUUUUUUCCGCAAUAAAUCGAUUUUGUCUGAGCACGUAUUAUAUGGGAAAUUUCAGAAGAUCGGCGAAAAAUUGUUGGAAGUCUUGCGUAGCCUGGAUUAUAAAAACAUAAUUGUCGAUAUCAUUCUACAAGAGAUUCGCAUUGAAAUAUGGUAUGGAAUCGAAGAAGUAGAUAUUGUAUCUAAUGUUCGAUUUCGAGCUGUGUUAAACGACAAAGGAAACUUUGACAUCGGAACAAUUUUACCGAAAACCUGGAAAGAAGAAGUUUCCAGACUUUUACGUGAAGUUGUUCCGUAUGCUGUGGUGGGUGUUUUUGUCAGCGUUGUUAUAUAUUUCUUAAGAAAAAAUCCAGAAAUGAUUCUUAACA
Long non-coding RNA from Saccostrea cuccullata (small rock oyster), 420 nucleotides. RefSeq lists it as uncharacterized. The transcript is spliced from 3 exons. The record is from RefSeq and is a predicted model, not a curated record. Lineage: Eukaryota; Metazoa; Mollusca; Bivalvia; Ostreida; Ostreidae.